UCCGAGUUGACCCCUAUUAGAGGGCGGUCGCAGGAUGUCAAACCCUGGUAAGGUUCUGCGCGUUGCGUCGAAUUAAACCACAUGCUCCACCGCUUGUGCGGGCCCCCGUCAAUUCCUUUGAGUUUCAACCUUGCGGCCGUACUCCCCAGGCGGAUUGCUUAAUGCGUUAGCUGCGCCACUGAACAGCAAGCUGCCCAACGGCUAGCAAUCAUCGUUUACGGCGUGGACUAC
Molecule: unclassified non-coding RNA, 231 nt
Filed under: uncultured Alphaproteobacteria bacterium
Lineage: Bacteria; Pseudomonadati; Pseudomonadota; Alphaproteobacteria
Description: contains 16S-23S intergenic spacer region
Source: RNAcentral